UAAGUAGGUAGUGAAAUCUGGUGGCUCAACCAUUCAGACUAUUACCUAAACUGGUCGUCUCGAGAAUGUUAGGGGUAGCUGGAAUUUCUAGUGUAGGAGUGAAAUCCGUAGAUAUUAGAAAGAACACCGAUAGCGUAGGCAGGCUACUGGGACAUUUCUGACACUAAGGCACGAAAGCGUAGGGAGCAAACGGGAUUAGAUACCCCGGUAGUCUACGCUGUAAACGAUGGAUACUA
RNAcentral lists this ribosomal RNA (236 nucleotides) under uncultured Candidatus Saccharibacteria bacterium. RNAcentral's name for it is "partial 16S ribosomal RNA". It matches the Rfam family "Bacterial small subunit ribosomal RNA", at positions 584 to 818 of the family's 1533-position model. Lineage: Bacteria; Candidatus Saccharimonadota. The record is from RNAcentral.